UGAGCAAUCUGCCCUUCUCAUCGGAAUAAGCGUUGGAAACGACGUCUAAUGCCGAAUACGACCUCCUUUCGCAUGAUCGGAGGUGGCAAGCUCCGGCGGAGAAGGAUGAGCUCGCGGCCUAUCAGCUAGUUGGUGUGGGUAAUGGCCCACCAAGGCGACGACGGGUAGCCGGCCUGAGAGGGUGACCGGCCACACUGGGACUGAGACACGGCCCAGCUCCGUAGGGAGG
This 229-nucleotide ribosomal RNA is filed under the name uncultured bacterium. RNAcentral's name for it is "partial 16S ribosomal RNA". It matches the Rfam family "Bacterial small subunit ribosomal RNA", at positions 118 to 348 of the family's 1533-position model. The record is from RNAcentral.